RNAcentral lists this transfer RNA (75 nucleotides) under Mycoplasma sp. RNAcentral's name for it is "tRNA-Cys". It matches the Rfam family "tRNA". Rfam says of the family: Transfer RNA (tRNA) molecules are approximately 80 nucleotides in length. The record is from RNAcentral. Lineage: Bacteria; Bacillati; Mycoplasmatota; Mollicutes; Mycoplasmatales; Mycoplasmataceae.
GGUGUCUUAGCCAAGCGGUAAGGUCCGAAGCUGCAACCUUCGUAUUCGUCGGUUCGAAUCCGACAGACACCUCCA